Molecule: ribosomal RNA, 256 nt
Filed under: uncultured bacterium
Lineage: Bacteria
Description: partial 16S ribosomal RNA
Rfam family: Bacterial small subunit ribosomal RNA
Source: RNAcentral
UAAUACGGGGGGAACGAGCGUUGUUCGGAUUUACUGGGCGUAAAGGGCACGCAGGCGGGGAUGCAAGUCAGAUGUGAAAACCCGAAGCUUAACUCCGGGCCGGCAUUUGAUACUGCAUCUCUUGAGUACGGGAGAGGAUGAUAGAAUUCUUGGUGUAGCGGUGAAAUGCGUAGAUAUCAAGAGGAAUACCGGUGGCGAAGGCGGUCAUCUGGCCCGAUACUGACGCUCAGGUGCGAAGGCCGGGGGAGCAAACAGG